RNAcentral lists this ribosomal RNA (472 nucleotides) under uncultured bacterium. RNAcentral describes it as "bacterial SSU rRNA". It matches the Rfam family "Bacterial small subunit ribosomal RNA", at positions 331 to 795 of the family's 1533-position model. The record is from RNAcentral.
CCAGACUCCUACGGGAGGCAGCGGUGGGGAAUAUUGCACAAUGGGCGCAAGCCUGAUGCAGCCAUGCCGCGUGUGUGAAGAAGGCCUUCGGGUUGUAAAGCACUUUCAGCGGGGAGGAAGGCAAUAAGGUUAAUAACCUUGUUGAUUGACGUUACCCGCAGAAGAAGCACCGGCUAACUCCGUGCCAGCAGCCGCGGUAAUACGGAGGGUGCAAGCGUUAAUCGGAAUUACUGGGCGUAAAGCGCACGCAGGCGGUCUGUCAAGUCGGAUGUGAAAUCCCCGGGCUCAACCUGGGAACUGCAUUCGAAACUGGCAGGCUGGAGUCUUGUAGAGGGGGGUAGAAUUCCAGGUGUAGCGGUGAAAUGCGUAGAGAUCUGGAGGAAUACCGGUGGCGAAGGCGGCCCCCUGGACAAAGACUGACGCUCAGGUGCGAAAGCGUGGGGAGCAAACAGGAUUAGAUACCCCAGUACCU